ACAUACGACCAUAGGACACUGAAUACAGGGCUUCCCGUUCGCUCAGCCUUACUUAAGCAGUGUACCGGCACACUAGUAGUUAAGUGGGUGACCAUUAGCGAAUCCGUGCUGUUGUAUGUU
RNAcentral lists this ribosomal RNA (120 nucleotides) under Pyrenochaeta sp. DS3sAY3a. The record is from RNAcentral. Lineage: Eukaryota; Fungi; Ascomycota; Dothideomycetes; Pleosporales; Cucurbitariaceae.